This 440-nucleotide ribosomal RNA is filed under the name uncultured bacterium. RNAcentral's name for it is "partial 16S ribosomal RNA". It matches the Rfam family "Bacterial small subunit ribosomal RNA", at positions 338 to 795 of the family's 1533-position model. The record is from RNAcentral.
CCUACGGGGGGCAGCAGUGGGGAAUAUUGCACAAUGGGGGAAACCCUGAUGCAGCGACGCCGCGUGAGGGAAGAAGGAUUUCGGAAUGUAAAGCCCUAUCAGCAGGGAAGAAAAUGACGGUACCUGAUGAAGAAGCCCCGGCUAACUACGUGCCAGCAGCCGCGGUAAUACGUAGGGGGCAAGCGUUAUCCGGAUUUACUGGGUGUAAAGGGAGCGUAGACGGCAGCGCAAGUCUGAAGUGAAAUGCCGGGGCUUAACCCCGGAACUGCUUUGGAAACUGUGCAGCUAGAGUGCAGGAGAGGUAGGUGGAAUUCCUGGUGUAGCGGUGAAAUGCGUAGAUAUUAGGAGGAACACCAGUGGCGAAGGCGGCUUACUGGACUGUAACUGACGUUGAGGCUCGAAAGCGUGGGGAGCAAACAGGAUUAGAUACCCUAGUAGUC